Molecule: small nucleolar RNA, 93 nt
Organism: Rana temporaria (common frog)
Lineage: Eukaryota; Metazoa; Chordata; Amphibia; Anura; Ranidae
Product: Z30 small nucleolar RNA
Exons: 1
Source: RefSeq, a predicted model, not a curated record
AGCAGUGAUGAGUAAGAUGUAUUCUGACUUGGUAUUGCUGGAUGCAAGUCCACAUUGACCACGAAAUGAUAACGUAAUCUUCUCUCUGAGCUG